UGAAGGCUGCAGUGAGCUAUGGUUGCGCCACUGCACUCCAGCCUGGGCAACUGAAUGAGACCCCAACUCAAAAAAGUGCUGUUCUAGAAACAGAGGUACUAAGAUAAGAAGCAGGGCAAAACCCUGUGUGUCUCCAACUUACCUAACACACCAUCCGCUGUAGGAUUAGGACCCAGACACGUGUAGCUGCAGGCCAUGCUGACUUCCAUCUGCUCUCUUUUCUCUGCAUUCUUCUUUUGUGUCACUUCCCUGUCUUGUCAGUACUUGUAAUUCUCAUACUCCUGCUCUCCCCUACAACCUCAUGCCUUAGUAUUAAUAGGGUAUGGCAGGGAAAAACUCACUUAGUUUCCAUUUUGUUCUUGGAGAAGAAAAAUUUGGAGACAUUUCCAAAAUGGCAUGUACAUCAUAAUUCUUAUUGACAACAUUUAUAAGAAACUUUGACUGUAGUGAUUAUCAAGAUACAUGCUUCGAAUAUUUAUUCCGUCUUUCCCCACCUUUCAAAAUAAGGAUUUAGAGCAGGAGUUGGCAGGGCCAAAUCCAGCCUGCAGCCUAUUUUGGAAAUAAAGUUGUUGGGACGCUGCCAUCCCCAUUCACUCACGUACUAUGCAUGACUGCUUUCAUGCUUCCAUGACAGAGCCGAGUGGUUGCAACAGAGACCGAAUGGCCUGCAACGCCUAAAAUAUUUACUUUCUGGACCUUUACAGGAAGUUUGCCAACCCCUGAUUUAGGAAGUGAAAACCUAAAUGGGGAAGUCUUACAUACUUUAACGUAUCUUAGCAAGCACUGCUUUGUUAAUGUAUAUGGACAGCACUUAAAAUAUAUCAAUAAACAAUUCUGAUCAGUAAACAUUUAUUUAGAGCCUAUUGUGGCCCAGAGAGUGUCCUGUGCUCAGAGGCAUAAAUACCAAUAACACCCCAUCUCUCCCCUCAUGGAACUCAGUCUCGGGGGAGAGGAAUAUGUAAAUGAUAAGUGCAAUGCAAUGUGACACAAAUAAAAUCAAGAGGAAGAGAAUCAGAAAAAAAAGGAAAGGGAACUGAUUAAUUCUGUCAGAAGUAGAGAAAGGCUUAACAAGAUAAAUGAUAUGUAUUAAGUUGUAGGAAAUGUUAGAGAAACAGCUUUCUUUAGUAUUUUUUGAGUUAGAAAGCAAGUUUUUAGCUUGGGGUCAGAAUAUUUUUAGAGAAAAAUUUUAAAAUAUGCCUAAAUCUGAAAUUCUGGAUUUAAAAAAGUGAAAAUCUGCAUGUGCCUCUUACACCUAAUGACGAAUUCUAAUUGCAGAAGAAUGCCAAUAACUAAAACCACAAAAUGAACCCUAUGUAUACUGGUGACCUUCUUUACUCAGAAUUAAUUAACACAAGCACUUGUUUCUUGCAGAGCACUUUGCUGUAAUUUAGAACAAAUUAAGGGAAAAAAUCAUUCAAGUGCUGUUUUCUUCACACCAUGAAGUAGGCGUGAUGGACCAAAGUUAACUCAUUUAAAAUAUUAUCAUCCAUUUCUUGUAAUUAUGAAUAGCAAUACCAUCUUUUUUCUUCAAAAAAAAAAAAAAGACAUCCUGUUCUAUGCUAUUUUCAACUUGUUUCCUGUGCUUCUAUUUAUUAAUGGAAAUUGAUUUUUCAAGAUUAAUGUAAAAUGUGUUUCUGUUUCUCCCAUUAAGUCUCUUAUUUAUAUUAGAUUCAAUGUAUAUGUUCCUGGAUAUUUUUCAAAUAAAUAUAUUUUUAAUAUAA
This is a long non-coding RNA of Nomascus leucogenys (northern white-cheeked gibbon), 1721 nucleotides long. RefSeq lists it as uncharacterized. NCBI's taxonomy places the organism in Eukaryota, Metazoa, Chordata, Mammalia, Primates, Hylobatidae. The record is from RefSeq and is a predicted model, not a curated record. The transcript is spliced from 2 exons.